Triplophysa rosa is the source of this 1974-nucleotide long non-coding RNA. RefSeq lists it as uncharacterized. The record is from RefSeq and is a predicted model, not a curated record. The transcript is spliced from 9 exons. NCBI's taxonomy places the organism in Eukaryota, Metazoa, Chordata, Actinopteri, Cypriniformes, Nemacheilidae.
GAAGCACAUUUGAGCAGCGUUCCCUCAUUAGAGGAAGCACUACAUGAUGGAAAAGAGGCCCGGAGCAGCGCCACUGGUGUUCCUCGUGUUUCUUCUUUACCGUGGUACUCUGACAGUGAGCUUGGCAUGCCCUGUUUGUGUGCGGACGAAAGAUUAGGACCCUUCCUUGCCUUUUCCUCGACGCCUGUGGUUACUUUCAGAACGUAGUGAAGAAUUUUAGAGCUCAAACGCCAUCUUUUCUUGAAUAUAGAUCGAGGGCUGAAGUGUCAACCCCUCAAGAUGGUCAUUCAAGUCGACCCAAAUCCAGGAAAGGCACAGAGAGGAGAAUUAAUGAAGUGAGUGGAUUCUUGUUUCUAACACAGCACUGUUAUCUCCUGAACAUUAAUGACGUAAACAGGUAGUUUCUUGUCGAAUAAUUUUGAAGAUGAGAAUUUCAAUUCCCUUCUCAGGAGCCGUACCGAUCUGUAUUUAUCUAAUAACGUGAAUAAAUCUGUUAUAUCACUGAUGUUGCUCUGAACCAACGGGUGCAGAGAGAUCUGCGGUGUUUCUUAAUGAACUCUUAUCUUGUACAAGCCCUGAAACAAAAGAUUUGCUUUCCGUUGAUCGGAGCUGUAGAGAUUCUGAAUGAACCCUGAUGUGGGAGAUGUUCAUGCGCCACGGUGUAAUUCAGAUGGGUGAAAAGAGCACAUUUCGGUUUAAGCAAUUAGCCCUAUAAAGUUUAUUGACAAUGACUGCUCUACUGAAGUGUUUUCCUGGAGGUUUUUAUAUUGAGACGCUUUUAUUUGACCACAGAAUUGCAUGGCUGUGUGGAUUACAUAUUGUGUAUUAAGUCUUUAUCUUCUUGGGGGUUUUUUGUAUGACGAUUGGUUUAUCUCUUUUACUUUGAAAGGAGUGGUUAACCUUUAAGAUAAAUAACACAAGAUUUGACAGGUGCCAUGAAUCAUAAAUAACUGUGUUGGAGGAUCGAUUGGCUUUAUAUUUCCUCUUUGGAAUAAAGUUUGGAACUGUUUGAAUUCAGGCAAGGUAAGAGGUCACCGGGUCAUAGUCGACAGAUUUCCACAUUUUACUCACUGCUAUUUUGACUCCCGACUCUUCUCAUGUAUUUAAAUGUUUGCGCAGGUUUUCCGCCCACAGCGGUCGGUGUCUCGGGGUGAAGGAGGGGCAGCGAUGUGAUGAAUGGACGGUGGAAUGAAGCUGGACAUUUAAGAUUGCCGCAAUCUGUUCAGUCUCUGCAGCGUCUUCAUCAGAAGAUCCUCCCGUAAUUGAAUGUUCAUCAGUUUGCAGAAACAGUAUGUAUAGAAGGAAUUGAAUGUUGUUCAUGAAGAAACUAUAAAACGAAGCGGUCGGGGUCGUUAUGAUAAAGAGAUGAGACUUUAGAAGAAGUGGAGUUGUGUGCCUGUGGUUGAAGAAGACAGAAGAAUACAACAAACGAGCGCUGGCCCGCCAACAGCCUUAAACACGCAACCUGAUGAUGAACUCGCAAAUCUUCUUAAAUUCCAGUGUGAAAUGAAAGUAAUUCUUUAAACGUUGCUUCAAUAUAUCUACACUUUGCAAUAAGACCGCAGGAAACAUUGAAUGGCAGAGAGGAUUUAGUGUGACACAUCGGUGGAAUGCUAAGACGAGACUGAGUGCUUGCCCUGCCGCGGUUUAGAAAGGUACCGAGGGUCCGGGCGGAUAACGCUUCACAUCAUCAGAAGAAAACUGAGCAAUCACCUUCUGCCGAGAUUAUGCAGAUGAGGCAGCCGCACUCGUCCUGGAACGCUCUGAACAUGUUGGUGUAAACAGAGUGUGGACGGCUUACAUGCUGACAAGAUGCUCCUCUCCAUUGCAACGUCGCCCGGGGCCGCCAAAGAAGGAGGCACGUUUCCUCAAUACAGACCCUGUUUAACAGCCAAUACGGCGCUGUUUUAAGUUUUUCUCCUCACCCACACAGGAAAGGAAGGUUUAUAGAAGCGAUUAUAUUUGUGACCCUGG